This 466-nucleotide ribosomal RNA is filed under the name uncultured bacterium. Its description in RNAcentral is "partial 16S ribosomal RNA". It matches the Rfam family "Bacterial small subunit ribosomal RNA", at positions 28 to 507 of the family's 1533-position model. The record is from RNAcentral.
GACGAACGCUGGCGGCGUGCUUAACACAUGCAAGUCGAACGGAAAGGCCCUGCUUGCAGGGUACUCGAGUGGCGAACGGGUGAGUAACACGUGGGUGAUCUGCCCUGCACUUCGGGAUAAGCUUGGGAAACUGGGUCUAAUACCGGAUAGGAACCAUCUUUAGUGUGGUGGUUGGAAAGUUUUUUCGGUGUAGGAUGAGCUCGCGGCCUAUCAGCUUGUUGGUGGGGCAAUGGCCUACCAAGGCGGCGACGGGUAGCCGGCCUGAGAGGGUGUACGGCCACAUUGGGACUGAGAUACGGCCCAGACUCCUACGGGAGGCAGCAGUGGGGAAUAUUGCACAAUGGGCGCAAGCCUGAUGCAGCGACGCCGCGUGGGGGAUGAAGGCCUUCGGGUUGUAAACUCCUUUCGCUAGGGACGAAGCUUUGUUGUGACGGUACCUAGAUAAGAAGCACCGGCUAACUACGUG